Molecule: ribosomal RNA, 253 nt
Filed under: uncultured bacterium
Lineage: Bacteria
Description: partial 16S ribosomal RNA
Rfam family: Bacterial small subunit ribosomal RNA
Source: RNAcentral
UACGUAGGGGGCGAGCGUUGUCCGGAAUUAUUGGGCGUAAAGAGCGUGUAGGCGGUUCGGUAAGUCUGCCGUGAAAACCUGAGGCUCAACCUCGGGCGUGCGGUGGAUACUGCCGGGCUAGAGGACGGUAGAGGCGAGUGGAAUUCCUGGUGUAGCGGUGGAAUGCGCAGAUAUCAGGAGGAACACCAAUAGCGAAGGCAGCUCGCUGGGACGUUACUGACACUGAGGCGCGAAAGCGUGGGGAGCGAACAGG